Acinonyx jubatus (cheetah) is the source of this 4949-nucleotide long non-coding RNA. RefSeq lists it as uncharacterized. The record is from RefSeq and is a predicted model, not a curated record. The transcript is spliced from 2 exons. Lineage: Eukaryota; Metazoa; Chordata; Mammalia; Carnivora; Felidae.
CCUCCGGUGCAGCGUAUGUUCGGUUGGGUCUCAGGAUCCCCCUUAUGCAGCUUCAUCCAGGAUUUGGCAAUGACAUCGUGACUUCCAUGUUGCAUGGUGAGUAAUUCCGCACCGCUUCUGGCCCCUGUGUGUGUGCCUGGUGUUCUCAGACUUAGGUAUUUGGUUCACAUCGGGAGAGAGCCUGAGCUAGGGUUAGGUUUCGGUCUAGUGACGUCACCAGGGCCAAAGCAACACCAGUCCUGUGAUUGCCCUGGAGGGCUUAACUGAGGGCCCAUGUGCAGGUGUUGGUCAGGUGUAGGGUUAGGUUGGGAGUUAGGGUGAGGGUUUGGUGGUGGGUUUUUGUGAGGGUACCGUUAGCGUUAUGUCCCAGGAGGCUCCAGGCACUGAACCCCCUGCAGUGCUGUGGUCUCCCGAAGGCUGAGUGGAGGGCACAUGGGAGGGUGCCACUCAGGCGUAGUCUUUGAGUGCCAGGGCCAGCCUCCUGUAUGGGCCACUCUUUGGUUGUUCCUCAGUACCCUCCCUUAUAUGGCUGCAUCCGGGCUUUGGCAAUGACAUGGUGACAUUUCAUGUUCCAUGCCGAGUAAUACCCACUGCUUCUGGCCCUUGUGUGCCUGGCAUUCUCAGACUUAGGAAUUGGGUCCCCAUUGGGAGAGAGCCUGAGCUAGGGUUAGGGUUCGUCUCAGGGAUGUUGCCAGUACCGAUGGGAUACCAGUCCUGUGAUCUUCCUGGAGGCCGAAAUGAGGUCCCAUGCAUGGGUGUGGGUUAAGUGUAGGGUAAGGGUGGGAGUUAGGGUGACGUUUUGGUGGAGGUUUAUAAAAUGUGGGAUUCACUGCAAAAGAAAGAACAGGAAGAAAUGAUAGGGUCGUAAUCAGCACAGAUAUAAGCAAGAUGUCUGAACUAGAAUUUAGAACCACAAUAAUAGGAGUACUAACUGGUGUGGAAAAAAUUAUAAAAUCCAUUUCUUCAGAGAUAGAAGAAAUAAAAUCUGUUCAGGAUGAAAUUAAAAAUGCUAAAACUCUCACACAAUAUCGAAUGGAUGCCAUAAUGGCAUUGAUGGACAAAGCAGAGCAGUGAAUCAGCAAUAUAGAAGAUAAAAUAAUCAGAAUAAUGAAGCAGAAAAAAGGAGGGAAACUGGCAAAAGAGCAUGAUACAAGAAGUAGAGAACUCAGUGACUUAAAAGAAAAAAAGGAAUAACAUCUGAAAAAUAGGAGUGCCAGAAGAGGAAGACAGAGAAAAAGGGGCAGAAGGUUUAUGUGAACAAAUUAUAGUGGUAAACUUUCAUAAUGUGGAGAAUGACACAGACAUCAAAAUCUGAGAAGCACAGAGAACUCCCAUUAGUUUGAACAGAAAACGACAAUUGCCAAGGCAUAUUAUAGUCAAAUUCAUAAAUACAGACAAGGAAAGAAUUAUGAAAGCAGCAAGAGAAAAAAUGUCCUUAAUGUACAAGGGAAGUCAGAUCAGGUUUGCAGCGAACCUGUAAACAGAAACUUGACAGGUCAGAAAGGAGUCACAAGAUAUAUUCAGUGUGCUGAAUCAGUGAAAUAUGCAGCCAGAAUUCUUUAUCUAGCAAGGCUGUCAUUCAAAAUAGAAGGAGAGAUAAAGAGUUUGCUAGACAUUCAAAAAGUAAAGGAGUUCACAGCCACUAAACCAGCCCUACUAGAAAUUUUAAGUGGGAAUCUUUGGAGAAAAGACAAAACAAAACAGAAAAGACCAAAAGCAACAAAGAUUAGAAAGGACCAGACAACAUCAUCAGAAACCACAAAUCUACAGGCAACACAAUGGUACAAAAUUCAUAUCUUUCAGUACUCAAUCUAAAUAAAUGCCAAUGGACUAAGCAAUCAAAAGACAUAGGGCAUCACAAAGGAUAAGAAAAAAAGAUCUAUCUAUAUGCUGCUUACAAGAGACUCAUUGUAGACCUAAAGAUACAUGCAAAUUGAAAAUAAAGGGAUGGAGAAUCAUCUAUAAUGCUAAUGGUUGCCAAAAGAAAGCUGGAGUAGCCAUACUUAUACCAGGCAAAUUAGGUUUUAAAAUAAAGACUGUAACAAGAGAUGAGGAAGGUCAUUGUAUCAUAAUUAAAGGGUCUAUCCACCAAGAAGAUCUAUAAUUGUAUACAUUUGUGCCCCCAAUGUGAUGGAACUCAAGUAUAUAAAUCAACUAAUUAAUCACAAACAUAAGAAGAAAAAUGUCAAAUACACAAUGCAACCUUACACCUAAAGGAGAUGGAAAAAGAAUAGCAAAUAAAGCCCAAACAGGCAGAAGAAGGUAAUAAUAAUAUUAGGGCAGAAUUCAAUGAUAUCGAAAUCAAAAAACAAACAAACCAGCAAAAAACAAAACAGUAGAACAGUUCAAUAAAACCAGGAGCUGUUUUUUUGAAAUAAUUAACAAAAUUGAUAACCCCCUAGCCAGAUUGAUCAAAAAUAAAAAGGAAAUGAUCCAAAUAAUUAAAAUCAUGAAUGAAAGAGGAGAUACCACAGCCAACAUCACAGAAAUACAAACAAUAAGAAGACCAUACUAUGAGCAAUUAUAUGCCAACAAAUUGGGCAAUCAGGAAGAAAUGGACAUAUUCCUAGAAACAUAUAAAUUACUGAAACUGAAACAGGAGGAAAUGGAAGCUUUGAAGAGAUCCAAAACCACUGAAGAAAUUGAAUGAGCAAUCAAAAACCUCCCAACAAAGAGUCCAUGGCCAGAUGGCUUUCCAGAGGAAUUCUACCAAACAUUUAAAGAAGAGUUACCACCUAUUCUUUUGAAGCAGUUCUAACAAAUAGAAAUGGAUGGAAAACUUCCAAACUCAUUCUAUGAGUCCAGCAUUACCUUCAAUCCAAAACCAAAGACUGCGCUACAAAGGAGAACUACAGACCAAUUUCCCUGAUGAAGCUUGAUCGAAAAAUUCUUAACAAGAUACUAGGCAACUGGAUCAAGCAAUACAUUAAAAGAACUAUUCAUCACGAUCAAGUGGGAUUUAUUCCUAGGAUGCAGGGCUGAUUCAAUAUCCACAAAUUAACCAAUGUGAUUCAUCACAUUAGUAAAAGGAUACAAUCCACAUGAUCCUCUCAAUAGAUGUAGAAAAAGCAUUUGACAAAAUACAGCAUCCUUUCUUGAUAAAUACCCUCAAGAAAGAAGGGAUAGAAGGAUCAUACCUCAAGAUCAUAAAGGCCGUAUAAGAAAGACCCACAGCUAAUAUCCUCAAUGGGGGAAGACUGAGAGCUUUCUCUCUAAGGUCUGGGCUACAGCAAGGAUGUCCAUUCUCACCACUAUUAUACAACAUAGUAUUGGAGGUCCUAGCCUCAGCAACAAGACAAUACAAAGAAAUAAAAGGCAUCCAAAUCAGCAGGGAGGAAGUCAGACUUUCAGUGUUCAUAGAUGACAUGGUACUCUAUGUGGGAAACACAAAAAUCUCCACCAAAAAACUGCUAGGACUGAUACAUGAAUUCAGCCAAGUCGCAGGAUACAAAAUCAGUAUUCAGAAAUCAGUUGCAUUUUUAUACACCAAUAAUGAAGCAGCAGAAAGAGAAAUCAAGGAAUCGAUCUCAUUUACAAUUGCACCAAACACCAUAAAAUACCUAGGGAUAAAUCUAACCAAAGGGGUGAAAAAUCUGUAAACUGAAAACUAUAGAAAGUGCAUGAAAGAAAUUGAGGAAGACACAGAAAAAUGGAAAAACAUUCCAUGCUCGUGGAUAGGAAGAACAUAUUGUUAAGAUGUCGAUACUACCUAAAUCAAUCUACAUAUUCAAUGCAGUCCCUAUCAAAAUAACACCAGUAUUCUUCGCAGAGCUAGAACAAACAUUCCUAAAAUUUGUAUGGAAUCAGAAGAGACCCCAAAUAGCCAAAGCAAUCCUGAAAAAGAAAACAUAGGCUGGAGGUAUCACAAUUCCAGACUUCAAGCUGUGUUACAAAGUUGUAAUCAUCAAGACAGUAUGGUACUGGCACAAAAACAGACGCUUAGAUCAAUUGAACAGAAUAGAGAACCCAGAAAUGGACCCACAAACCUAUGGCCAGCUAAUCUUUGACAAAGCAAUAAAGAAUAUGUAGUAGAAAAGACAGUUUCUUCAGCAAAUGGUACUGGGAAAACUGGACAGCGACAUGCAGAAGACUGAAUGUGGACCACUUUCUUACACCAUACACAAAAGCAAACUCAAAAUGGAUGAAAGACCUAAACAUGAGGUGGGAAGCCACCAAAAUCCUAGAGGAGAAAACAGGCAACAACCUCUUUGACCUCGGCCGCAUCAACUUCUUACUUGCCAUGUCUUCAGAGGCAAGAGAAACAAAAGCAAAAAUGAACUCUUGGGACCUCAUCAGGAUAAAAAGCUUCUGCACAGCAGAGGAAACAAUCAGCAAGCUAAAAGGCAAUCAAUGGAUUGGUAGAAGAUAUUUCCAAAUGACAUAUCAGAUAAAGGGUUAGUACCCAAAAAUCUAUAAAGAACUUACCAAACUCAACACCUAAAAAGCAAAUAAUCCAGUGAAGAAAAGGGCAAAAGACAUGAAAGAUACUUUUCCAAAGAAGACAUCCAGAUGUCUAACAGACACAUGAAAAGAUGCUCAACAUGACUCAUCAUGAGGGAAAUACAAAUCAAAACCACAAUGAGAUACUCCCUCUCAUCUGUCAGAACAGAUAAAAUUAACAACUCAGGCAAUGACAUGUUGAUGAGGAUGUGGAGAAAGACAAACCCUUUUGCACUGCUGGUGGGAAUGCAAACUGGUGCAGUCACACUGGAAAAGAAUAUGAAGGUUCCUCAAAAAAAUUAAAAAUAGAAGUACACUAUGACCCAGAAAUUCACUACUAGGUAUUUAUCCAAAGGUUACAGGACUGCUGAUUCAAAGGGGAACAUGACCCCAAUGUUUAGCAGCACUAUCAACAAUAGCCAAAGUAUGAAAAGAGCCCAAAUGUCUAUUGACUAAUGAAUGGAUAAAGAAGAUGUGGUAUAUAUAUACAAUGGAAUAUUACUCAUCAA